GGUCCUGGCUCAGUGGUAGGGCGCUCACGUAGCACGCGUGAGGCCCUGGGUUCGAUCUCAGCACCA
This 66-nucleotide transfer RNA is filed under the name Marmota monax (woodchuck). RNAcentral's name for it is "tRNA.Ala". The record is from RNAcentral. Lineage: Eukaryota; Metazoa; Chordata; Mammalia; Rodentia; Sciuridae.